GGGUACUGCUAUCGGAGUAUGACUAAGCCAUGCAAGCCAGCUGACGACCUUCGUUGGCGGCGUAAGGCUGAGUAACACGUAGUCAAUCUGCCCUAUGGACGGGUAUACCCUUGGGAAACUGAGGAUAACCCCCGAUAUUUCAUCCAUGCUGGAAUGCUUGAUGAUUUAAAUCUUUUAGUGAAUUGGAGCUAAAUGGCCAUAGGAUGAGACUGCGUCUGAUUAGGUUGUUGGUGAGGUAACGGCUCACCAAGCCGAUAAUCAGUAGGGGCAAUGGGAGUUGGAGCCCCCAGAAGGACACUGAGACAAGGGUCCUAGUCCUACGGGAUGCAGCAGGCGCGGAACCUUUACAAUGCGCGAAAGCGUGAUAGGGAAACUCCGAGUGAUAGAGGCAAAAUGUUUCUAUCUUUUUGUUAAUCUAAAAAGUUAGCAGAAUAAGAUCUGGGUAAGACCAGUGCCAGCCGCCGCGGUAAUACUGGCAGAGCAAGUGGUGCCCACGAAUAUUGGGUUUAAAGAGUCCGUAGCGGGUCUGUUAAGUCCACUGUGAAAUCUAGCAGCUUAACUGUUAGGCGUGCAGUAGAUACUGGCAGGCUUGGGAGUGGGGGAGAUCAGGAGUACUUGUGGGGUAGUGGUAAAAUACUGUAAUCCUACAAGGACUACCAGUGGCGAAGGCGCCUGAUCAAAACACGUCCGACCGUGAGGGACGAAGGCUAGGAGAACGAAUCGGAUUAGAUACCCGAGUAGCCCUAGCAGUAAAUUAUGCAGACUGUGGUGUUGCGUUGACUUCGGGUCGACGCAGUGCUGUAGCGUAAGUGUUAAGUCUGCCACCUGGGGAGUACGAUCGCAAGAUUGAAACUUAAAGGAAUUGGCGGGGGAGCACCACAAGGCGUGGAUGCUGCGGUUC
RNAcentral lists this ribosomal RNA (901 nucleotides) under uncultured euryarchaeote. RNAcentral's name for it is "bacterial SSU rRNA". It matches the Rfam family "Archaeal small subunit ribosomal RNA", at positions 21 to 903 of the family's 1478-position model. Lineage: Archaea; Methanobacteriati; Methanobacteriota. The record is from RNAcentral.